GGGGAUAGAAGCUAGAAGUGCAUAUCUGUAACAUAACCAGUGAUUAUAUGAAAGUAUAGUGUAACAGUAGGGAAGGUCUGAGACAAGAGCCACUGGCUGCCCUAGCAUGGCAUCACCUGCUGCAGAUGGAUGAGUUGCCAGCAAUGGUGCGCCCUGGGUCAGGGUCCCAAACUGGGCAGGAGAAGCUAGAAGAAGCCCCUCUAGUGGAUGCCCAGCUCCCUCCCAAGGGUCAUGGCAGUUUUCAGUUAUUGGCCAGUAGACAGUUCGGUAUUGGUAUUUCAAAUUCC
Molecule: long non-coding RNA, 287 nt
Filed under: Pelusios castaneus (West African mud turtle)
Lineage: Eukaryota; Metazoa; Chordata; Testudines; Pelomedusidae
Description: Nuclear RNase P (ENSPCEG00000009862.1)
Rfam family: Nuclear RNase P
About the family: Ribonuclease P (RNase P) is a ubiquitous endoribonuclease, found in archaea, bacteria and eukarya as well as chloroplasts and mitochondria. Its best characterised activity is the generation of mature 5'-ends of tRNAs by cleaving the 5'-leader elements of precursor-tRNAs.
Source: Rfam by way of RNAcentral